RNAcentral lists this unclassified non-coding RNA (359 nucleotides) under uncultured fungus. RNAcentral's name for it is "partial contains 5.8S ribosomal RNA and internal transcribed spacer 2". The stretch from base 1 to 133 matches the Rfam family "5.8S ribosomal RNA", at positions 22 to 154 of the family's 154-position model. The record is from RNAcentral. Lineage: Eukaryota; Fungi.
UGGUUCUCGCAUCGAUGAAGAACGCAGCGAAGUGCGAUAAGUAAUGUGAAUUGCAGAUUUUCGUGAAUCAUCGAAUCUUUGAACGCAUAUUGCGCCCUCUGGUAUUCCGGAGGGCAUGCCUGUUUGAGCGUCAUUUCCUUCUCAUAUCUCUAAGAUGUGGUGAUGAGCGAUACUUCUGCUUCUGUGGAAGUUCGUUUGAAAUGAAUUGGCACGAGUCUUUUGUUCGAGUAAUGCUAUUUAUUCAAUGUAUUAGGUUUGCACCAUCGUUGAUUGGUAGUAUUGUGAGAAUGAAGUUAUGGGCUUUGCCUUACAAACUUAUCAUAAAGUUUGACCUCAAAUCAGGUAGGAUUACCCGCUGA